This 253-nucleotide ribosomal RNA is filed under the name uncultured bacterium. Its description in RNAcentral is "partial 16S ribosomal RNA". It matches the Rfam family "Bacterial small subunit ribosomal RNA", at positions 524 to 776 of the family's 1533-position model. The record is from RNAcentral.
UACGUAGGUGGCAAGCGUUGUCCGGAAUUAUUGGGCGUAAAGGGCUCGUAGGCGGUCUGUUGCGUCGGGAGUGAAAACUUACAGCUUAACUGUGAGCGUGCUUCCGAUACGGGCGGACUUGAGGUAUUCAGGGGAGAACGGAAUUCCUGGUGUAGCGGUGAAAUGCGCAGAUAUCAGGAGGAACACCGGUGGCGAAGGCGGUUCUCUGGGAAUAUCCUGACGCUGAGGAGCGAAAGUGUGGGGAGCGAACAGG